RNAcentral lists this ribosomal RNA (251 nucleotides) under uncultured bacterium. RNAcentral describes it as "partial 16S ribosomal RNA". It matches the Rfam family "Bacterial small subunit ribosomal RNA", at positions 85 to 339 of the family's 1533-position model. The record is from RNAcentral.
UGGGUGGCGAGUGGCGGACGGGUGAGGAAUACAUCGGGAUCUACCCGGUUGUGGGGGAUAACGUAGGGAAACUUACGCUAAUACCGCAUACGACCUGAGGGUGAAAGCGGCGGACCGCAAGGCGUCGCGCGAUCGGAUGAACCGAUGUCGGAUUAGCUAGUUGGUGAGGUAAAGGCCCACCAAGGCUACGAUCCGUAGCUGGUCUGAGAGGAUGAUCAGCCACACUGGAACUGAGACACGGUCCAGACUCC